RNAcentral lists this ribosomal RNA (506 nucleotides) under uncultured bacterium. RNAcentral's name for it is "partial 16S ribosomal RNA". It matches the Rfam family "Bacterial small subunit ribosomal RNA", at positions 29 to 523 of the family's 1533-position model. The record is from RNAcentral.
AUUGAACGCUGGCGGCAGGCCUAACACAUGCAAGUCGGACGGUAGCACAGAGGAGCUUGCUCUUCGGGUGACGAGUGGCGGACGGGUGAGUAAUGUCUGGGGAUCUGCCCGAUAGAGGGGGAUAACCACUGGAAACGGUGGCUAAUACCGCAUAACGUCGCAAGACCAAAGAGGGGGACCUUCGGGCCUCUCACUAUCGGAUGAACCCAGAUGGGAUUAGCUAGUAGGCGGGGUAACGGCCCACCUAGGCGACGAUCCCUAGCUGGUCUGAGAAGAUGACCAGCCAAACUGGAACUGAGACACGGUCCAGACUCCUACGGGAGGCAGCAGUGGGGAAUAUUGCACAAUGGGCGCAAGCCUGAUGCAGCCAUGCCGCGUGUAUGAAGAAGGCCUUCGGGUUGUAAAGUACUUUCAGCGGGGAGGAAGGCGAUGUGGUUAAUAACCGCGUCGAUUGACGUUACCCGCAGAAGAAGCACCGGCUAACUCCGUGCCAGCCGCCGCCGUAA